This is a long non-coding RNA of Musa acuminata AAA Group (dessert banana), 5411 nucleotides long. RefSeq lists it as uncharacterized. The record is from RefSeq and is a predicted model, not a curated record. Lineage: Eukaryota; Viridiplantae; Streptophyta; Magnoliopsida; Zingiberales; Musaceae. The transcript has 14 exons.
AGGUUUGUAUUGCUGAAACGGUCUUUCUGCCCAAAUGCUCGAAUAGUUACAGCACCAGAGAGUGAUUCUCCAAAAUGAUGAAGGAUCGGAGCUUUCUGGAUUUCUGACAACCGAGCCAACUCUCUUGCAGUGGAUGGUGUUGAGUCAAAGAAGGACAUUGGGGCACGAACGAUAGAGUGGAGCAUCUUUUGGAAAAAAAAUUGAGAUGUCAAAAGGCCUGUUUUUACAAGCAGAGUUGAUCGGAUCAACAUACACAGUGAACAUCCAACUGAAAGAAGUAUAUACACUAAGAAGAGAAACUCGAGUCCCACUGUAGACUCUGUAGUUGUAGUUGGAGGAGAAGCCCAUGCCAUCCAAUAGUUGCUUGCUACUUGCAGUACCUGGAAAAAUGCUUGUGCUAUGACUAUUAUGGGAACCAAGGCACCUCCUCGUGCUGCAGUCAGGAUAACCUUGAACAGUUGAGUGCCUGUAUGAGCAUCCAAAGCGCUGAAAGGGUCAUCAAGAAGGUAUAUAUCAGCAUCCUGAUAGACUGCUCUAGCUAGCUGGAUCCUUUGCUUCUGCCCUCCGCUCAUAUUUAUACCUCUUUCUCCAAUCUCUGUCAGGUCCCCAUUAGCAAAGAGCUCAAAAUCCUUCUUCAGAGCACAAACCUCAAUUGUCUUUUCAUACUUUUCAUUGUCAAAAGUAUUUCCAAAGACAAUAUUUUCUCUAAUAUUUCCUGACAGUAUCCAUGGGGAUUGUGAAACAUAUGCUUUGCUGCCCCUAAUUUUUACUCUCCCUCCAAGCUUUGGUAUUUCUCCAAGGAUGCAUGAGAGUAAACUAGACUUUCCCGAACCAACAGUACCACAAAUAGCCACCUUCAUUCCCCUAUGCACCUUCAGCUGUAUAUUUUCAAGUGUGGGGCAUCCUGAGUCUUGGUUCCAGCUAAAUGUCCCACGAUCAAUCUCAACAUCAACCUCUGCUUCAUUUCUGGGAGCAAUUUCAACCGCAUCAGCUCUCAUUUCGUCUUCUUGGAGGUACUUUGCUAUUCUGUCAGCUGAAACUUUUCCUUGUGCAAGUACUGAAAGCAGAUCGGGUAGAGUAAAGAUUGGUUCUUGCAGCAUUCUGAAUGUUGCCAAUGCAGACAAAACUCUUCCUGCAGUUAGAGGGAUUCCUAUGAUUAUACACGUUCCAAAUGUCACCACUGAUAUGAACAUCGGUGCUCCCCAGAAUAUAAAAGAUGAAAUUGCUUGCAAUCUUAAAGACAUCCACAGCCAAUUGUGCUCAGUGUUUCUCAGGUCUUCUAACUUGCGAAGUUAAGGGAAUAUUGCAUGCCAUUAUCAUUGUUGUUGCUGCUAAUCCAGCCAAAGCUCCAACUCCAAGAUUUUUAUAAAGAACAUAUAUUGCUAGUGCAAUCUGGACGGGAAUCAUCCAAAUUAUGUUUGAAUACCAUAUCAGGUCGGUAAUCCUUUGGAUAUCCACACUCAUGUAGUUGAUAAUCUCCCCACUCGUAUGGCUCUGCCGAGACUGACUUGAUAAAAUGAGGCCCUUUUUGUAUAUAUGAGAUAUUAGAACAGCUCUUAAGCGCAUUCCAAGCUGUCGAGCUCCAAAAAUCCAUUGUCUCUGACACACGGUCUCUACAACUUUGGCACCAAGAAAUGCAAGUGCAAUGAAGGUCCAACAUAAGAGGCCCCUGCAGCUGCAACUGCAAAGCUUGCAUUAAUCACAGCCUUCUUCCAGAUGAACAUGAAGAUUGCUCUGUAGAUUGAUGAAGUUCUCAAGCCGUAUCUUUCUUUGACGUUAUUCAGGCAACAGUUGAAUGAGUGAGACAAGAACUCAGCAUAAUCAUUUUUAUCAAUGUCUGGUACGUCAUUCUGCUCUAGUGGUUUCAUCUUUCCGGUAGUGAAAAGUGGGUUAAGCCAUGAGAAGGUCACAAGUUGUAUAAGACUUGCACUCCUGUAAAAGGAGCUCCUCUUGUUCUCAGCAUGCUUCUCCUUUGAUGUUUGCACUUGCAAUAAUGGUUCGUUAAGGCUAUUGGCAUCGCAGCUGAUCCCUGUUGUACCUCUGACUGAGAUAACAAAGAGUAGCAUGCAAGGAAAGAGACUUAUUAUCUCUGUAUAUUGUUCUACUCCUAAGAAUGACUUUGCUAGAAGUGUGGAGCGUAUAUCAAGAGCAGUACAGAUAGCUGAUUGCAGGAAGCUGCAUAUGAACCAUGUUCUUAUUAUCCAAGAAAGUUUUACAGAUCUAGCUUGUGGGAGAUUAACUAUGACAGCAACCAGAAAUAUCCAUGAUAUCAACUGUGUUGUCUCAGCUACAACUGAUACGAUGUACUUGCAAUUGCCUCCGCUUCCUUCUAGCAGAAAGAAAACAAGUCUGAACAGGUUGAUGGCCAAUAUCAGGGAGCAACAAACUUUAGCAGCUUGGAGUUGAACCAAGAAGCAACUGAUAAAGAUGAGAUUGAGAAAUGCAAAAACAUUCUUCCAGAAACAAAGGACGCUGAUAUCUUGCCAUCCUUUCCAAGAUUGAAGUGAAUGGAAAUCUGCAAGAGCAGCAUGAAGUACCUUGUUCAGUUUGUAAUGAACAACAGUUUUGUAGCUACGACAGGAGAGUGGAUAUCCACCGAGGCAAAGGCAACAAGAGACUCCAGAUGACAAAUCACCCUCGUCCCUUCUUCUUGCAUGCACAUGUUUCUUGGCUUAACCUGCUUUCUGUAAGUGUUGCACUACAGCUGGGCCUCUCUGAGCCUUGGGCGCCAAGAAAUCCAACGCAUGGAAGUGAGCUUAAAAUAUGCUUUGUUGGUGGUGAUCACUAUUUCCGUCAUCUCGAUGGCACUGAGGUUAGAAAAAGACUCGAAUUGCGUGGAAAGCAAGAAGGUGAUGCUGAAAGCUACAGUGUUGGAGGUGCAUUUCCUCGUCAGCACGAUGCGACUAGUAUCAACAGGUUCUGCUUUCUCUUCGAUGAACUUUCAGACACAACAUACCUUAGAACUGAUAGCAAAAGUGUGAUGCGACACCAAUACUGUGUCAAGUGUCUGAACUGGUGCAUUCUCGGCCAUGAUUGAAAUGUGAUCACUCCACUUGCCUGCUAUAAGACAGAGAACCUUUAGUCCAUCGUGCACCAAUCUCUCGCGUGCAGGCGGGAAGUGGGAGACAGAGAGCCAUGGAGCAACGCUGGAAGGUGAAUAAUAAUAUUGCUGUGCUUUUCCUAAAAGGAGAUGCCACUUCCAUGGCCUUCCUCAUGUCCCAACUCGACUGCAAGGUGAAUAAUAAUAUUGCUGCAAAUACAUAUUACAUUUCUUCUUUUCUUGCUGCAUAUGACAUGACAGAUGGAAGAACCAGGCAAGGUGACAGUCGCUCAUGGAUCGAUCAUGGUGCUGCCCACUACCAAUCUCUUGGGAAGAGAGAAUCCUCACAGCUGUACUCGACUCCUCUUGGAAAAGCUUAUCGUGACAGUGGAACUGCAAGAGAGGGACAAGUGCAUCAAGAAGGUGACAGCCUGAGAGGCAAAUAAAAUUAUCAUUACAGGAGGGACUGCAAUGGCAUUUACCGGACGAGGCCCAUGUCUCGAGGCGCCCGGCCCGGCCCGGCCAUCAUGCCACGAGAGCAGGACGGACGGCAGAGAUCAUCGUCCGCAUACUACGUUGCAUCCGCCUCUCCGCAGAGACCCUUUUCUGCUCUCCCACAUAGUCGUCCUCGAGUCCCCGUCACACGUGCGGCAAUUUUGGGGUUUCUUUACCGGUUUCAGAGGAGAACCAACGAGGCCAUCGGGGUUUCACCGAUCUUUCCCGGUUGUUACGAUCUCUCCUCCUCUUUCAAGAAUCCAUGUUGGAGGCUUCGCUUUCUUUGGAUUUUCCGCGGAAAGAUGUACCCGUCUUUCUCGAAGAUGGUGGAGGUGGUUCGGUGGUCGGACACAGACGCAAGCGCCAGGCGCCUGGUUGAUUCAGUGCGGUGAUUAUGAUGGGGAUUUGUAUCGAGAGGAUCCUCUGGAGUCCGAAGGUGGGUUUGGGAAUAUCAUUGUGGUGGACAAUCUGCCGGUGAUGCCGCUGGAAAACUUUGCGAAGCUCGAAGGUGUCGUCCGGAAGAUGUACAAUCAAGAAACGGAAGACUCGAAUAUUCAGGGAAAGACGAAUGGACUCUAUGUUGGACAAAUCAUAUGCAUGAUGUUGAUCUGUUUGGUGACUUCAAGAAGUACAUGAUGAUUCCAGAUGAGUGGAAAUCUGCUGAAAUUAGAUCAAACAAACCUGGGUUGUUCUAUGUAAUUUGUUGUUUAUGCCCCUCUUCACUAUUGGACUGAGAGCUCUAUCCAGUGGCCUCUUCUACUUUUCAUUGUUUGAUGCAUUUUGCCUAUUCUCAGUUUUCAUGGCAUUCCUAGACUUCCACCACUCGAGGAUGCUGUUGAGGAGGCUGAGAUCGUUAGGAACCGGAAGCACAGCGAGAAGUAUGAAGCAGAGGACCAGGAUGUCCCCAUGCAAUUGAACGAGCAGUAAGGUAAAAAGAGAUGAUGAUGUGAGGAACAGUGAAAUGAAUCAGGAACCAAACGGAAGCGGUUAUGUUAGGAAGAGAGGUUGCUGAAGGCUUCAGUCGAGGGAUGAAGAGAGAAGGGGGGUAUGUACGCUGGUUGACUUGGUUCAGGAACCAAAAAUUAAUCUCCCUACUCCAUCUUGCAGUAGAUGGGACUAAUAUGCUGGUUGACUUGGUUCAGGACCAACCACUGGUGUCCGUUUUAAGGAUGGUGCACUCCAUGAACUACAGCGUGGUGCCAUUGUCAUCAUCACUCCACCAAUCGUGACUUCGCCAUCAUGAAGGGCAAUCUCAGAAGUGACGGAGUGGAGCUGGCCAUGGGGGUUGAGGACAAGGUGCCUUCAGUCACAAGACCGACAUGAGCAUGGGACUACGGUGUCUUCGCUUGCCUUGGCUCUACAUUCUCUUGUUUUUUUGGCGGGUUUUGAAUUAGCGUAUUAGUAUGUUUAAUCGAUUUUAAAACUUAAUAUGUUUCAAAAAUCGAUUGAUCAAACUAAGUAAAAAGAAUAAAAUUAACUCAGGACAAUUAAAUAGCGGCAAAUCGAUGUAUAGUGGUUUAAUUUUUUAUUUAUAUAUUAAAGAUUUUGAUAAUAAAAUCAAUUGAUAAGCUUAAGAAAAAUAGUAUAAGAAAUAUUUCGAUCACAAACUUAAACCAUCGAAAGGUCAAUUGUUGAGUAGAAGUGUUGAAUGUUAUGUUGAGAAAUUAUUAUGUUGAAAAUUGAAUGUCGACUCAAAAGGAUUAUAAAUGUACUGAUUGAUCGUGUAGGUGUAGAAAGUUUCAUAAAUGUACUGAUUGUGAGUGUAGGUGUCGAAAGUUUCAUAAAUGUAUUGAAUGUGAGCAGUUUCAUAAAUGUACUGAAUGUGAGUGUAGGAGUCGAAAGUUUCAUAAAUGUAUUGAAUGUGAGCGUAGGUGUA